Molecule: ribosomal RNA, 495 nt
Filed under: uncultured bacterium
Lineage: Bacteria
Description: partial 16S ribosomal RNA
Rfam family: Bacterial small subunit ribosomal RNA
Source: RNAcentral
GAUGAACGCUGGCGGCGUGCUUAACACAUGCAAGUCGAGCGAAGCAGUUAAGUUGAUUUCUUCGGAUUGAUUCUUGACUGACUGAGCGGCGGACGGGUGAGUAACGCGUGGGUGACCUGCCCCAUACCGGGGGAUAACAGCUGGAAACGGCUGCUAAUACCGCAUAAGCGCACAGAGCUGCAUGGCUCGGUGUGAAAAACUCCGGUGGUAUGGGAUGGGCCCGCGUCUGAUUAGGCAGUUGGCGGGGUAACGGCCCACCAAACCGACGAUCAGUAGCCGGCCUGAGAGGGCGACCGGCCACAUUGGGACUGAGACACGGCCCAAACUCCUACGGGAGGCAGCAGUGGGGAAUAUUGCACAAUGGGGGAAACCCUGAUGCAGCGACGCCGCGUGAGCGAAGAAGUAUUUCGGUAUGUAAAGCUCUAUCAGCAGGGAAGAUAAUGACGGUACCUGACUAAGAAGCCCCGGCUGACUACGUGCCAGCCGCCGCGGUAA